RNAcentral lists this ribosomal RNA (483 nucleotides) under uncultured bacterium. RNAcentral describes it as "partial 16S ribosomal RNA". It matches the Rfam family "Bacterial small subunit ribosomal RNA", at positions 29 to 506 of the family's 1533-position model. The record is from RNAcentral.
AUUGAACGCUGGCGGCAGGCCUAACACAUGCAAGUCGAGCGGAUGAAGGGAGCUUGCUCCUGGAUUCAGCGGCGGACGGGUGAGUAAUGCCUAGGAAUCUGCCUGGUAGUGGGGGAUAACGUCCGGAAACGGGCGCUAAUACCGCAUACGUCCUGAGGGAGAAAGUGGGGGAUCUUCGGACCUCACGCUAUCAGAUGAGCCCAGGUCGGAUUAGCUAGUUGGUGGGGUAAAGGCCUACCAAGGCGACGAUCCGUAACAGGUCUGAGAGGAUGAUCAGUCACACGGGAACUGAGACGCGUUCCAGGCUCGUAGGGGAUGCAGCAGAGGGAAAUAUUGGACAAGGGGCGGAAGCCUGACCCAGCCAUGCCGCGUGUGUGAAGAAGGUCUGCGGAUGGUAAAGCACUUUUAGAUGGGAGGAAGGGCAGUAAGUUAAGACCUGGCUGUUUUGACGUUACCGACAGAAGAAGCACCGGCUAACAUCGU